GACGAACGCUGGCGGCGUGCUUAACACAUGCAAGUCGAGCGGUAAGGCCCUUUCGGGGGUACACGAGCGGCGAACGGGUGAGUAACACGUGGGCGACCUGCCCUCAGCUCUGGGAUAAGCCUGGGAAACCGGGUCUAAUACUGGAUAUGACUCCAUGACGCAUGUUGUGGGGUGGAAAGCCUUGUGCGGCUGAGGAUGGGCCCGCGGCCUAUCAGCUUGUUGGUGGGGUGAGGCCUACCAAGGCGACGACGGGUAGCCGGCCUGAGAGGGCGACCGGCCACACUGGGACUGAGACACGGCCCAGACUCCUACGGGAGGCAGCAGUGGGGAAUCUUGCGCAAUGGGCGAAAGCCUGACGCAGCGACGCCGCGUGAGGGAUGACGGCCU
RNAcentral lists this ribosomal RNA (387 nucleotides) under uncultured bacterium. RNAcentral describes it as "bacterial SSU rRNA". It matches the Rfam family "Bacterial small subunit ribosomal RNA", at positions 28 to 417 of the family's 1533-position model. The record is from RNAcentral.